Non-coding RNA from Vicia faba (fava bean), 204 nucleotides. The record is from the annotation of a GenBank genome assembly. Lineage: Eukaryota; Viridiplantae; Streptophyta; Magnoliopsida; Fabales; Fabaceae.
AUGAAGUUGAAAGUUGCGGUUUGUAUGUAUGUAUAUGUCUCCCUCUCCCUGUUGCUUCUAUAUUAUGUUAUAGUAAAUGAAAAUAACAUUUUUUGGGGGGGAAAAUUGAUAAUUUUUUUCAAACAAUUUGGGUAUGCUGAAACUGGACUUUUUAUGGCAGUUUUGUUUUGCUGGCUUUAUACACGGUUUUGGACAAUUUUGUAG